UGCCGGAUGAUGACACCAUUCUCAUGUUCGCAGUUGAGAGUUGGAUGAAAAAGAACCACUCGAUGAAGUGUCUUUGUAGCCUUCACUUAGAUGUCUGACACAGAGCG
This 107-nucleotide small nucleolar RNA is filed under the name Plasmodium vivax (malaria parasite P. vivax). RNAcentral's name for it is "snoRNA PVP01_0930900". It matches the Rfam family "small nucleolar RNA snoR13". Lineage: Eukaryota; Apicomplexa; Aconoidasida; Haemosporida; Plasmodiidae. The record is from RNAcentral. RNAcentral also lists the same sequence under 1 other name.